Molecule: RNA transcript, 1375 nt
Organism: Camelina sativa (false flax)
Lineage: Eukaryota; Viridiplantae; Streptophyta; Magnoliopsida; Brassicales; Brassicaceae
Source: RefSeq, a predicted model, not a curated record
UUCUAUAUAAGACGAUGCAUUGAGUUGAACUUCAACAGAUAGCAAAACGCAAAAGAAAAACAAACCAGAGAUGAAUAGCCUGAAAUUUAAAAGAGUCCUUAUUGCAUCUUUCUGUCUCUUCCUCCUCCAGUCGUACGCAGUUCAAGGGAUAGUCAGAAUCGGUUUGACGUUGGGUAAUACUUCAUUCAACAAAAACGGAGUGGGGAUUGAGACUUCUAACGGAGAUAUCUAUUACGGAGAAAUAACAAUUGGUACACCGGGGCAACGUUUCACAGUCGUGUUUGACACCGGAAGCACGAUCUAUGGGUACCAUCUGGAGACUGGCAGGGCGAGAAACCUCACAAUCUUUACGAGUCGCAAAGAUCAAGCACUUACAAACCAAAUGGAAAAAAAGUAGAAAUCAAUUACGGGUCAAGUUCUCUCACAGGCAUUCUAAGCAUUGACACUGUUGAUGUUGGUGGAAUUACAAUAACUGAUCAGUACUUCACAGAGGGUCGUUCUACUCCGGAAAGGGACCGACUUCGCAAGUCAACCUUUGAUGGGGUAUUGGGACUAGGGAGUCCUCAAAUUUCUAUGACAGAAACUACUCCUGUCUGGGAUUCGAUGAUGCAACAAGACAAGGUUGAAAAGAAAAUUAUCUCCAUAUGGUAUGGGAGGUCUAACGACGCUGGAGAAGGAGGAGAGAUAGUGUUCGGAGGCACAAACCCAGCUCAUUAUACGGGAGAGCACGUUUAUGUGACCGUGAGCGGGGUUAGACACUUCUUCCAAAUGAAAAACAUAUUCGUCGGAACCAUAGACACAAAAAAUGCUCUACAGGCUGCUAUGUGUUUGUUGACUCGGGCACUACAAACAUUCUUGGUCCACCGAAUAUGAUCAAGGAAAUUAAUGAUAAAAUCAAUGCAAAAAAAGAUUGCUCAAAUUAUGAGAACCUGCCUGAUGUAACCUUUACAAUAGAAGAAAAGAGUUACUCUGUCAGUCCACUUGAUGUAAGUUGAUUGAACGGAUAUUUUCUUUUCCUCCGUUUAGUUUCUUUUCCUCUGACUUCUGUUCUGUACUAUGGAUUUUCUGUAUAUACGUAAGGUGACCACAGAAAAUGACUGCACAAGUAGAUUCAAGAACAACGAUUUCUGGGUACUUGGCAUACCAUUCAUACGAGCCUUUCAUACGGUGUAUGACUACGAGAACCUACCAACUGUGAGAAUUGGCUUCGCUAAGUCGGUUCAGAUUCUUACUAGAACUAAGGCCUUUAUGAAUGUUUCUGAUAUGUACUGAUUGAUCAUAUGAAAAAGAUCACUAAUAUCAGCAAAUAAAUUUAUUUUCACCAUCAAAGUAUAAUAUGGUCUUUUAUUUUAUUUUUCUUUCUCUUAUUCGUUAA